UACGUAGGGUGCGAGCGUUAAUCGGAAUUACUGGGCGUAAAGAGCGCGCAGGCGGUCAGAUAAGUCGAAUGUGAAAGCCCCCGGCUCAACUGGGGAGGGUCAUUCGAUACUGUUCGACUCGAAGGCAGGAGAGGGAAGUGGAAUUCCCGGUGUAGUGGUGAAAUGCGUAGAUAUCGGGAGGAACACCAGUGGCGAAGGCGACUUCCUGGCCUGUUCUUGACGCUGAGGCGCGAAAGCUAGGGGAGCAAACGGG
RNAcentral lists this ribosomal RNA (253 nucleotides) under uncultured bacterium. RNAcentral's name for it is "partial 16S ribosomal RNA". It matches the Rfam family "Bacterial small subunit ribosomal RNA", at positions 524 to 776 of the family's 1533-position model. The record is from RNAcentral.